Molecule: long non-coding RNA, 1283 nt
Filed under: Salmo salar (Atlantic salmon)
Lineage: Eukaryota; Metazoa; Chordata; Actinopteri; Salmoniformes; Salmonidae
Description: lncRNA (ENSSSAG00000104521.1)
Source: RNAcentral
GCCGUGGCGGAGAUCUUUGUGGGCUAUACUCGGCCUUGUCUUAGGACGGACCUGAGCCCUAGGACCAUGCCUCAGGACUACCUGGCAUGAUGACUCUUUGCUGUCCCCAGUCCACCUGGCCGUGCUGCUGCUCCAGUUUCAACUGUUCUGCCUGCAGCUAUGGAACCCUGACCUGUUCACCGGACGUGCUACCUGUCCCAGACCUGCUGUUUUCAACUCUCUAGAGACAGCAGGAGCAGUAGAGAUACUCUGAAUGAUCGGCUAUGAAAAGCCAACUGACAUUUACUCCUGAGGUGUUGACCUGUUGCACCCUCGACAACUACUAUGAUUAUUAUUAUUUGACCAUGCUGGUCAUUUAUAAACAUUUGAACAUCUUGGCCAUGUUCUGUUAUAAUCUCCACCCGGCACAGCCAGAAGAGGACUGGCCAACCCUCAUAGCCUGGUUCCUCUCUAGGUUUUGGCCUUUCUAGGGAGUUUUUCCUAGCCACCGUGCUUCUAGACCAGCAUUGCUUGCUGUUUGGGGUUUUAGGCUGGGUUUCUAUACAGCACUUUGAGAUAUCAGCUGAUCUAAGAAGGGCUAUAUAAAUACAUUUGAUUUGAUUAAUAAAUGGAUCACUAGUCACUUUAAACAAUGCCACCUUAAAUAAUGCCACUUUAAUAAUGUUCACAUAUAUUACAUUACUCAUAUCACAUGUAUACACUGUAUUCUAUACCAUCUACUGCAUCUUGCCUAUGCCUCUCAGCCAUUGCUCAUCCAUAUAUUUAUAUGUACAUAUUCUCAUUUCCCCCUUUUUAGAUUGGUGUGCAUUAGGUAGUUGUUGUUGAAUUGUUAGAUAUUACUGCACCUUUCGGAAACCAAGAAGCACAAGUAUUUCGCUACACUCGCAUUAACAUCUGCUUUCCAUGUGUAUGUGACCAAUACAAUUUGAUUUGAUUUGAAAAUAAAAAGGUGACAUGUAAAUGACAGACAAAGGAAAUGUUGAAGUUUAUUUAGUCUUCAUAAAAUAAAGCAUAGCAUUAGAACAGGGUCUACAACAGAGAAUCAUAUUCAUAUGAAGGCACGUGUAAACCUAAACUAAUAUUUUCUGUAAUUUUCUGUAUUUAGCACCACUAGUCUUAUCUAGCAGAUUUGUGAAGUGAGACAUCCAAUGUUAAGAAAUAAAUAUACAGGGGGACCAAACCCACAGUUGUCACUACUGCUACAAUAAACAGGUUAAUUUUUUUUUUUUUAAAGGUAUUGAAGUAUAAUCAGGGUUGGUUGUUGUUGUUGUUGUUCACUGUUG